This 275-nucleotide ribosomal RNA is filed under the name uncultured bacterium. RNAcentral describes it as "partial 16S ribosomal RNA". It matches the Rfam family "Bacterial small subunit ribosomal RNA", at positions 523 to 796 of the family's 1533-position model. The record is from RNAcentral.
AUACGUAGGGGGCGAGCGUUGUCCGGAUUUAUUGGGCGUAAAGAGCUCGUAGGCGGCUUAGCAAGUCGGCCGUGAAAGUCCGAGGCUCAACCUCGGAAAGCCGGUCGAAACUGCUAUGGCUAGGGUCCGGUAGAGGAGAGUGGAAUUCCCGGUGUAGCGGUGAAAUGCGCAGAUAUCGGGAGGAACACCAGUAGCGAAGGCGGCUCUCUGGGCCGGUACCGACGCUGAGGAGCGAAAGCGUGGGGAGCAAACAGGAUUAGAUACCCCGGUAGUCC